CCCUUAGAUGUUCUGGGCCGCACGCGUGCUACACUGAGUGGAUCAGCGGGUCAGGUUGCGCGAAAGUGUUUCCUAAUCUUGAAAUCCGCUCGUGAUGGGGAUUGACGGUUGCAAUUUUCUGUCAUGAACGAGGAAUACCUUGUAAGCGCGGGUCAUCAUCCCGCGCUGAAUACGUCCCUGCCCUUUGUACACACCGCCCGUCGCUCCUACCGAUUGAGUGGUCCGGUGAGGCUUUGGGAUCUGGAUGGAAGGAGCGUUUCGCUGUUUCUGCCCGGAAAACUCAGUCGAACCUUAUCAUUUAGAGGAAGGAGAAGUCGUAACA
RNAcentral lists this ribosomal RNA (322 nucleotides) under uncultured eukaryote. RNAcentral's name for it is "partial 18S ribosomal RNA". It matches the Rfam family "Eukaryotic small subunit ribosomal RNA", at positions 1470 to 1796 of the family's 1831-position model. The record is from RNAcentral.